This 483-nucleotide ribosomal RNA is filed under the name uncultured bacterium. RNAcentral describes it as "bacterial SSU rRNA". It matches the Rfam family "Bacterial small subunit ribosomal RNA", at positions 31 to 507 of the family's 1533-position model. The record is from RNAcentral.
GAACGCUGGCGGCAUGCUUUACACAUGCAAGUCGAACGGCAGCACGGGUGCUUGCAUCUGGUGGCGAGUGGCGGACGGGUGAGUAAUACAUCGGAACGUGUCCUGAAGUGGGGGAUAACGCAUCGAAAGAUGUGCUAAUACCGCAUAUUCUCUGAGGAGAAAAGUAGGGGAUCGAAAGACCUUAUGCUUUUGGAGCGGCCGAUGUCUGAUUAGCUAGUUGGUAGGGUAAUGGCUUACCAAGGCGACGAUCAGUAGUUGGUCUGAGAGGACGGCCAGCCACACUGGGACUGAGACACGGCCCAGACUCCUACGGGAGGCAGCAGUGGGGAAUUUUGGACAAUGGGCGCAAGCCUGAUCCAGCAAUGCCGCGUGAGUGAAGAAGGCCUUCGGGUUGUAAAGCUCUUUCAGUUGAAAAGAAAAAAUUGUGACUAAUAAUCAUAAUUCAUGACGGUAUCAACAGAAGAAGCACCGGCUAACUACGUG